CUUUAUGGCGGUUGUGUGCGGGCAGGCUUACGCCUGGCCGGGUUGCCUACGCCCCGGGUCUCACCCCGCACACGACUGCCACCCAU
RNAcentral lists this non-coding RNA (86 nucleotides) under Pseudomonas cremoricolorata. The record is from RNAcentral. Lineage: Bacteria; Pseudomonadati; Pseudomonadota; Gammaproteobacteria; Pseudomonadales; Pseudomonadaceae.